GUUAAAAAGCUCGUAGUUGGAUUUCUGUUACGGCGAGUCGGCCGGCUCUUCGGAGUUGUAGCUAGAUUUCGCGGUAGCAUCUUGGCGUAAUUACCACUGGCAUUCAUUUGUUGGUGUGUAGGACCGCCUCGUUUACUUUGAGAAUAUUUGACGGUUCAAACGAAACUAUCGUUUUGAAAAUAUUAGCAUGGAAUAAUAAUAUAGGACUUUUGGUUCUAUUUUGUUGGUUGUACGAGAACCAAAGUAAUGAUUGAUAGGGACAGUUGGGGGCAUCAGUAUUCUGAAGCGAGAGGUGAAAUUCUUGGACCUUCGGAAGACUAACAGCUGCGAAAGCGUUUGCCUAGGAUGUUCUCUUUAAUCAAGAACGAAGGUUGGGGGAUCGAAGACGAUCAGAUACCGUCGUAGUCUCAACUAUAAACUAUGCCAGCUAGGGAUGAGUGGAUGUUUAAUUACCGACUCCAUUCGCACCUUAUGAGAAAUCAAAGCAUUUGGGUUCCCGGGGGGAGUAUGGGUCGCAAGGCUGAAACUUA
RNAcentral lists this ribosomal RNA (530 nucleotides) under uncultured marine eukaryote. RNAcentral's name for it is "bacterial SSU rRNA". It matches the Rfam family "Eukaryotic small subunit ribosomal RNA", at positions 618 to 1146 of the family's 1831-position model. The record is from RNAcentral.